AUGACGCGGGCAGAAGGUGCCCGACGGCCAUGGCAGUGGAGGCUCGGGGUGGUGCAGAGAGGCGAGCUCGAGGGGACGGCCGGAGCAGAGGAGGAGGCGACGCACGGAGACGUGGAAGGAGAGGAGUGGCGCGGUUGGAUGCGCCGACGAGCUGCUCGUGGCCAAGGCGGGCCGAUGGAGGUGCAGAAGAGGACGCGGGCGGGCGGCGCGCUUGAGGAGGUGGCCGACGGGGAGGUGAACAAGGGCGGCGGAGGCGCGGCCCGAUGGGCUCGCUCGGCGGGGACAAAGCAGCAGCGGCGGCAGGAGGCACGGCCAUUGGAAUCGGGCGCGAGGACCUCCUCUCCCUGGCGCGAUGCGUGCGUGCGUGCGUGUGGCGGCGGUGAACAGUGCGAGGGAGAGAGGUGA
RNAcentral lists this ribosomal RNA (405 nucleotides) under Triticum aestivum (bread wheat). RNAcentral describes it as "partial small subunit ribosomal RNA". The record is from RNAcentral. Lineage: Eukaryota; Viridiplantae; Streptophyta; Magnoliopsida; Poales; Poaceae.